CCUACGGGAGGCAGCAGUGAGGAAUAUUGGUCAAUGGACGCAAGUCUGAACCAGCCAUGCCGCGUGCAGGAAGACGGCUCUAUGAGUUGUAAACUGCUUUUGUACGAGGGUAAACGCAGAUACGCGUAUCUGUCUGAAAGUAUCCUACGAAUAAGGAUCGGCUAACUCCGUGCCCGCAGCCGCGGUAAUACGGAGGAUUCAAGCGUUAUCCGGAUUUAUUGGGUUUAAAGGGUGCGUAGGCGGUCGGAUAAGUUAGAGGUGAAAUCCCGAGGCUCAACUUCGGAAUUGCCUCUGAUACUUGUCGGCUAGAGAGUAGUUGCGGUAGGCGGAAUGUAUGGUGUAGCGGUGAAAUGCUUAGAGAUCAUACAGAACACCGAUUGCGAAGGCAGCUUACCAAGCUACGUCUGACGUUGAGGCACGAAAACGUGGGGAGCAAACAGGAUUAGAUACCCGUGUAGUC
This 460-nucleotide ribosomal RNA is filed under the name uncultured bacterium. Its description in RNAcentral is "partial 16S ribosomal RNA". It matches the Rfam family "Bacterial small subunit ribosomal RNA", at positions 338 to 795 of the family's 1533-position model. The record is from RNAcentral.